RNAcentral lists this ribosomal RNA (253 nucleotides) under uncultured bacterium. Its description in RNAcentral is "partial 16S ribosomal RNA". It matches the Rfam family "Bacterial small subunit ribosomal RNA", at positions 524 to 776 of the family's 1533-position model. The record is from RNAcentral.
UACAGAGGGUGCGAGCGUUAAUCGGAAUUACUGGGCGUAAAGCGUGCGUAGACGGUAGCGUAAGUCAGAUGUGAAAGCCCCGGGCUCAACCUGGGAAUUGCAUUUGAGACUGCUCUGCUCGGGUGCGGAAGAGGGAAGCGGAAUUUCCGGUGGAGCGGUGAAAUGCGUAGAGAUCGGAAAGAACACCAACGGCGAAAGCACUCUGCUGGGCCGACACUGACACUGAGAGACGAAAGCUAGGGGAGCGAAUGGG